RNAcentral lists this ribosomal RNA (454 nucleotides) under uncultured bacterium. RNAcentral describes it as "partial 16S ribosomal RNA". It matches the Rfam family "Bacterial small subunit ribosomal RNA", at positions 338 to 789 of the family's 1533-position model. The record is from RNAcentral.
CCUACGGGGGGCAGCAGUGAGGAAUAUUGGUCAAUGGACGAGAGUCUGAACCAGCCAAGUAGCGUGAAGGAUGACUGCCCUAUGGGUUGUAAACUUCUUUUAUAAAGGAAUAAAACGAGGCACGUGUGCCUUUUUGCAUGUACUUUAUGAAUAAGGAUCGGCUAACUCCGUGCCAGCAGCCGCGGUAAUACGGAGGAUCCGAGCGUUAUCCGGAUUUAUUGGGUUUAAAGGGAGCGUAGAUGGGUUGUUAAGUCAGUUGUGAAAGUUUGCGGCUCAACCGUAAAAUUGCAAUUGAUACUGGCAGUCGUGAGUACAGUUGAGGUAGGCGGAAUUCGUGGUGUAGCGGUGAAAUGCUUAGAUAUCACGAAGAACCCCGAUUGCGAAGGCAGCUUACUAAACUGUGACUGACAUUGAUGCUCGAAAGUGUGGGUAUCAAACAGGAUUAGAUACCCGA